Saimiri boliviensis boliviensis (Bolivian squirrel monkey) is the source of this 107-nucleotide small nuclear RNA. The record is from RefSeq and is a predicted model, not a curated record. NCBI's taxonomy places the organism in Eukaryota, Metazoa, Chordata, Mammalia, Primates, Cebidae.
GUGCUCACUUCGGCAGCAUAUAUACUAAUAUUGGAACGACACAGAGAAGAUUAGCAUGGCCCCUGUGCAAGGAUGACAUGCAAAUUUGUGAAGCUUUCCAUAUUUUA